This 76-nucleotide transfer RNA is filed under the name uncultured Gammaproteobacteria bacterium. RNAcentral describes it as "tRNA-Ile". It matches the Rfam family "tRNA". From Rfam's summary of the family: Transfer RNA (tRNA) molecules are approximately 80 nucleotides in length. Their secondary structure includes four short double-helical elements and three loops (D, anti-codon, and T loops). Lineage: Bacteria; Pseudomonadati; Pseudomonadota; Gammaproteobacteria. The record is from RNAcentral.
GGUCUGUAGCUCAGCUGGUUAGAGCACCGUCUUGAUAAGGCGGGGGUCGUUGGUUCGAGUCCAACCAGACCCACCA